Molecule: ribosomal RNA, 415 nt
Filed under: uncultured prokaryote
Description: bacterial SSU rRNA
Rfam family: Bacterial small subunit ribosomal RNA
Source: RNAcentral
GUGUCAGCAGCCGCGGUAAGACGGAGGGUGCAAGCGUUGUUCGGAAUUACUAGGCGUAAAGAGCGUGUAGGUGGUUAGCUAAGUCGGAUGUGAAAAUUCCGAGCUCAACUCGGAACCUGCAUUCGAAACUGGUUAACUUGAGUGUGGGAGAGGAGAGUGGAAUUCCUAGUGUAGCGGUGAAAUGCGUAGAUAUUAGGAAGAACACCAGUGGCGAAGGCGACUCUCUGGCCUAAAACUGACACUGAGACGCGAAAGCGUGGGGAGCGAACAGGAUUAGAUACCCUGGUAGUCCACGCUGUAAACGAUGGGCAUUAGGUGUAGGAGGUAUCCAAUCCUUCUGUGCCGAAGCUAACGCAUUAAAUGCCCCGCCUGGGGAGUACGGUCGCAAGGCUGAAACUCAAAGGAAUUGGCGGGG